UUUGGUGAUGAUGGCAGAGAGGUCACACCCGUUCCCAUACCGAACACGGAAGUUAAGCUCUCUAGCGCCGAUGGUAGUUGGGACCUUGUCCCUGUGAGAGUAGGACGUCGCCAAAC
This 116-nucleotide ribosomal RNA is filed under the name Shigella sonnei. The record is from RNAcentral. RNAcentral also lists the same sequence under 2 other names. Lineage: Bacteria; Pseudomonadati; Pseudomonadota; Gammaproteobacteria; Enterobacterales; Enterobacteriaceae.